This 429-nucleotide ribosomal RNA is filed under the name Acidobacteriota bacterium. Its description in RNAcentral is "Acidobacteria bacterium partial 16S ribosomal RNA". It matches the Rfam family "Bacterial small subunit ribosomal RNA", at positions 355 to 776 of the family's 1533-position model. Lineage: Bacteria; Pseudomonadati; Acidobacteriota. The record is from RNAcentral.
UGGGGAAUUUUGGACAAUGGGGGAAACCCUGAUCCAGCCAUCCCGCGUGUGCGAUGAAGGCCUUCGGGUUGUAAAGCACUUUUGGCAGGAAAGAAACGUCAUGGGUUAAUACCCCGUGAAACUGACGGUACCUGCAGAAUAAGCACCGGCUAACUACGUGCCAGCAGCCGCGGUAAUACGUAGGGUGCAAGCGUUAAUCGGAAUUACUGGGCGUAAAGCGUGCGCAGGCGGUUCGGAAAGAAAGAUGUGAAAUCCCAGAGCUCAACUUUGGAACUGCAUUUUUAACUACCGGGCUAGGGUGUGUCAGAGGGGGGUGGAAUUCCGCGUGUAGCAGUGAAAUGCGUAGAUAUGCGGAGGAACACCGAUGGCGAAGGCAGCAUCCUGGGAUAAAACUGACGCUCAUGAACGAAAGCGUGGGGAGCAAACAGG